CUUGGUCAUUUAGAGGAAGUAAAAGUCGUAACAAGGUCUCCGUUGGUGAACCAGCGGAGGGAUCAUUACAGAGUUGCAAAACUCCCAACCAUUGUGAACCUACCUCACCGUUGCUUCGGCGGGUGGCGCUCCCUCACCCGGAGCGCCGCGCCGGCCCCUCCCCGGGGCCCGGCAACCCGUCAGAGGCCCGCAACUCUUAGUCAUCAUUGGCCUCUCUGAGUAACUUAUACAAUAAGUAAAAACUUUCAACAACGGAUCUCUUGGUUCUGGCAUCGAUGAAGAACGCAGCGAAAUGCGAUACGUAAUGUGAAUUGCAGAUUUCAGUGAAUCAUCGAAUCUUUGAACGCACAUUGCGCCCGCUAGUAUUCUGGCGGGCAUGCCUGUUCGAGCGUCAUUUCAACCAUCAAGCCCUAGGCUUGCGUUGGAGCCCUGCGGCUGCCGCAGGCUCCCAAAUCCAGUGGCGGGCUCGUCGUCGUACCGAGUGCAGUAAACAUCCUCGCUCAGGGAACGUGACGGGUUCUUGCCGUGAAACCCCCCACAUAUCAAGGUUGACCUCGGAUCAGGUAGGAAUACCCGCUGAACUUAAGCAUAUCAAUAAGCGGAGGA
RNAcentral lists this ribosomal RNA (606 nucleotides) under uncultured fungus. RNAcentral describes it as "eukaryotic LSU rRNA". The stretch from base 241 to 394 matches the Rfam family "5.8S ribosomal RNA". The record is from RNAcentral. Lineage: Eukaryota; Fungi.